AGCGAACGCUGGCGGCAGGCCUAACACAUGCAAGUCGAACGAACCUUUCGGGGUUAGCGGCGGACGGGUGAGUAACACGUGGGAACGUGCCUUUAGGUUCGGAAUAACUCAGGGAAACUUGUGCUAAUACCGAAUGUGCCCUUCGGGGGAAAGAUUAAUCGCCUUUAGAGCGGCCCGCGUCUGAUUAGCUAGUUGGUUGAGGUAAUGGCUCACCAAGGCGACGAUCAGUAGCUGGUCUGAGAGGAUGAUCAGCCACAUUGGGACUGAGACACGGCCCAAACUCCUACGGGAGGCAGCAGUGGGGAAUCUUGCGCAAUGGGCGAAAGCCUGACGCAGCCAUGCCGCGUGAAUGAUGAAGGUCUUAGGAUUGUAAAAUUCUUUCACCGGGGACGAUAAUGACGGUACCCGGAGAAGAAGCCCCGGCUAACUUCGUG
This 434-nucleotide ribosomal RNA is filed under the name uncultured bacterium. Its description in RNAcentral is "partial 16S ribosomal RNA". It matches the Rfam family "Bacterial small subunit ribosomal RNA", at positions 29 to 507 of the family's 1533-position model. The record is from RNAcentral.